This is a long non-coding RNA of Raphanus sativus (radish), 432 nucleotides long. RefSeq lists it as uncharacterized. Lineage: Eukaryota; Viridiplantae; Streptophyta; Magnoliopsida; Brassicales; Brassicaceae. The transcript has 3 exons. The record is from RefSeq and is a predicted model, not a curated record.
UGAAAAAGUGGUAGGAAUGACAGCGGUGUGUGGUAUUCCCACUUUCUGGUGGCAUAUAUAAAACUCGAAGCAUAGGCAAUUGCAUUAGAGUCUGGCGUAAGCAUAUCCUUUCUUAAUGUUGGUUGUUGUGUUCUCUAGGUUUUUGUUGAUGGUGGAAUCCGAAAAUUCAUAUAUAUUGGUUGGGAAUUCUACUUGAUGCAAGGCAAGAUAAGCAUGGAUACUGGAUUUAGCGUGGAGUACAUAAAUGAUUCAGGGGAAAAGGCUCUGAUAUUACCUUGCCAUCGGUAGCUGAUCAAGUGAGGGCAAUGUGGAAGGAAGCUUAUGAGAAUUUUUAGUUUUGUUGUUAAUUUCAUAGUUUUAUAUGGGUAUGGUUAUAAGUUUUCUUUUAGCUAUGUUGUUUAAUCUCAUAAUUAUUUUAAAUGAUGGACCUAA